Molecule: small RNA, 59 nt
Filed under: Arabidopsis thaliana (thale cress)
Lineage: Eukaryota; Viridiplantae; Streptophyta; Magnoliopsida; Brassicales; Brassicaceae
Description: ATSL274560
Source: RNAcentral
CAGUACUACUCUCCCCCAAGCACGCUUAACUAAAGGUCAAAAUUUGGAGUUGACAAAAA